UACGGAGGAUCCGAGCGUUAUCCGGAUUUAUUGGGUUUAAAGGGAGCGUAGGCGGGUUGUUAAGUCAGUUGUGAAAGUUUGCGGCUCAACCGUAAAAUUGCAGUUGAUACUGGCAUCCUUGAGUACAGUAGAGGUAGGCGGAAUUCGUGGUGUAGCGGUGAAAUGCUUAGAUAUCACGAAGAACUCCGAUUGCGAAGGCAGCCUGCUGGACUGUAACUGACGCUGAGGCUCGAAAGCGUGGGGAGCAAACAGG
Molecule: ribosomal RNA, 253 nt
Filed under: uncultured bacterium
Lineage: Bacteria
Description: partial 16S ribosomal RNA
Rfam family: Bacterial small subunit ribosomal RNA
Source: RNAcentral